RNAcentral lists this ribosomal RNA (496 nucleotides) under uncultured bacterium. Its description in RNAcentral is "partial 16S ribosomal RNA". It matches the Rfam family "Bacterial small subunit ribosomal RNA", at positions 29 to 507 of the family's 1533-position model. The record is from RNAcentral.
AUGAACGCUGGCGGCGUGCCUAAUACAUGCAAGUCGAGCGAACGGACGAGAAGCUUGCUUCUCUGAUGUUAGCGGCGGACGGGUGAGUAACACGUGGAUAACCUACCUAUAAGACUGGGAUAACUUCGGGAAACCGGAGCUAAUACCGGAUGAUAUUUUGAACCGCAUGGUUCAAAAGUGAAAGACGGUCUUGCUGUCACUUAUAGAUGGAUCCGCGCUGCAUUAGCUAGUUGGUAAGGUAACGGCUUACCAAGGCAACGAUGCAUAGCCGACCUGAGAGGGUGAUCGGCCACACUGGAACUGAGACACGGUCCAGACUCCUACGGGAGGCAGCAGUGGGGAAUCUUCCGCAAUGGGCGAAAGCCUGACGGAGCAACGCCGCGUGAGUGAUGAAGGUCUUCGGAUCGUAAAACUCUGUUAUUAGGGAAGAACAUAUGUGUAAGUAACUGUGCACAUCUUGACGGUACCUAAUCAGAAAGCCACGGCUAACUACGUG